AGCAACAGAGACUUUAUUGGUUUUUUUGUUUAUGUUUCAGAGAUGAGGUCUUGCUCUAUUGCCCAGGCUGAAGUGUACUGGUGCGAUCACAGGUCACUGCAGCCUCAGCCUCCCGAGCAGCUGGGACUACAGGUGCAUCCCAUCAUGCCCAGCUACUUUUUUAUAUUUGUUUGUAGAGCUGGGGUCUCACUGUGUUGCCCAGGCUGGUCUCAAACUCCUGGGCUCAAGCAAUUCUCCCGCCUUGGCCUCCCAAAGUGCUGGGAUUACAGGCGUGAGCCACUGCAGCCAACAACAGAAUUGUGUCGCCUCCCAGCUCUGGAGGUUGGAAGUCCAAGAUCAAGGUGUUGUCAGGGUUGGUUCCUUCUGGGAGCCUUCAGGCAGAAUCCGUUGCAGGCCUGUCUCCUGGCUUCUUUUGGUCAUUAACUGGCAAUCUUCCCUGGCUUCUAGAAGCAUCACUCUGAUCUCUGCCUUCAUGGUCACAUGGUCUUCUGUGCAUGUCUGUGUCCAGGUUUCUCCUUUGUAUAAGGGCGUCAGUUGUUGGAUUAGGACCCACACUAAUGACCUCAUUUUAACUUGAUUAUCUCUGUAAGGACUCCAGAUGUUCCCAACACAGUCACAUUUGAGUUAUCAGGAGUUGGGACUUCAACAUAUCUUUUGUAUUUUUGACAUGGGGUCCCACUCUCUUGCCCAGGCUAGAAUGCAAUGGUGCAAUCAGAGCUCACUGCAGCCUCAACCUCCUGGGCUCAAGCAACCCUCCCCCUUCAGCCUUCCCAGUAGCUGGGACUAUAGGCACGUGCCACCGUGCUCGGCUAAUUUUUGUGUUUUUUGUGGAGAUGGGAUCGC
This 843-nucleotide long non-coding RNA is filed under the name Homo sapiens (human). Its description in RNAcentral is "non-protein coding lnc-ASF1B-2:1". Lineage: Eukaryota; Metazoa; Chordata; Mammalia; Primates; Hominidae. The record is from RNAcentral.